GCCGGGUGUGGUGGUGCAUGCCCGUAAUGCCAGCAACUGAGGAGGCUGAGGCAGGAGGGUCAUUAGUUCUAAGCCAGCUUCAGCAACUUAGCAAGGCCAUAAACAACUUAGUGAGAUCCUGUUUCAA
This 127-nucleotide small RNA is filed under the name Marmota monax (woodchuck). The record is from RNAcentral. Lineage: Eukaryota; Metazoa; Chordata; Mammalia; Rodentia; Sciuridae.